Molecule: non-coding RNA, 28 nt
Filed under: Mus musculus (house mouse)
Lineage: Eukaryota; Metazoa; Chordata; Mammalia; Rodentia; Muridae
Source: RNAcentral
UACUUCUCUAAAGUUGUGAGCACCGAAC